This 633-nucleotide ribosomal RNA is filed under the name Mycobacterium sp. So3Ps_1736. RNAcentral describes it as "bacterial SSU rRNA". It matches the Rfam family "Bacterial small subunit ribosomal RNA", at positions 383 to 1028 of the family's 1533-position model. Lineage: Bacteria; Bacillati; Actinomycetota; Actinomycetes; Mycobacteriales; Mycobacteriaceae. The record is from RNAcentral.
CUGAUGCAGCGACGCCGCGUGAGGGACGACGGCCUUCGGGUUGUAAACCUCUUUCAGCACAGACGAAGCGCAAGUGACGGUAUGUGCAGAAGAAGGACCGGCCAACUACGUGCCAGCAGCCGCGGUAAUACGUAGGGUCCGAGCGUUGUCCGGAAUUACUGGGCGUAAAGAGCUCGUAGGUGGUUUGUCGCGUUGUUCGUGAAAACUCACAGCUCAACUGUGGGCGUGCGGGCGAUACGGGCAGACUGGAGUACUGCAGGGGAGACUGGAAUUCCUGGUGUAGCGGUGGAAUGCGCAGAUAUCAGGAGGAACACCGGUGGCGAAGGCGGGUCUCUGGGCAGUAACUGACGCUGAGGAGCGAAAGCGUGGGGAGCGAACAGGAUUAGAUACCCUGGUAGUCCACGCCGUAAACGGUGGGUACUAGGUGUGGGUUUCCUUCCUUGGGAUCCGUGCCGUAGCUAACGCAUUAAGUACCCCGCCUGGGGAGUACGGCCGCAAGGCUAAAACUCAAAGAAAUUGACGGGGGCCCGCACAAGCGGCGGAGCAUGUGGAUUAAUUCGAUGCAACGCGAAGAACCUUACCUGGGUUUGACAUGCACAGGACGACGGCAGAGAUGUCGUUUCCCUUGUGGCC